Molecule: transfer RNA, 112 nt
Organism: Microdochium bolleyi
Lineage: Eukaryota; Fungi; Ascomycota; Sordariomycetes; Xylariales; Microdochiaceae
Rfam family: tRNA
About the family: Transfer RNA (tRNA) molecules are approximately 80 nucleotides in length.
Source: Rfam
GGUUCUAUAGUGUAGUUGGUUAUCACUUCGGAUUCUGACUCCGCAGCUGCUUCUCUCAAAUGGAGCCUGCGACAAGUUUCCGGCGACCCCGGUUCGAGUCCGGGUAGGACCU